GCACGAGAAUCUGGCUUCGGCCAGUAGUAAAGUGGCGGACGGGUGAGUAACACGUGGAUAAUCUGCCCUUCGGCGGGGGACAACAGUCCGAAAGGAUUGCUAAUACCGCAUACGUCGGCGAGGUCUUCGGAUCUUGUCGGGAAAGAUGGCCUCUUCAUGAAAGCUAUCACCGAAGGAUGAGUCCGCGUCCCAUCAGCUAGUUGGCGGGGUAAUGGCCCACCAAGGCUAAGACGGGUAGCUGGUCUGAGAGGAUGAUCAGCCACACUGGAACUGAGACACGGUCCAGACUCCUACGGGAGGCAGCAGUGGGGAAUAUUGGGCAAUGGGCGCAAGCCUGACCCAGCCAUGCCGCGUGAGUGAUGAAGGCCUUCGGGUCGUAAAGCUCUGUGGGGAGGGAAGAAACCGUUUGUGGCUAACAUCCACGAACAUUGACGGUACCUCCUUAGCAAGCACCGGCUAACUCCGUG
This 467-nucleotide ribosomal RNA is filed under the name uncultured bacterium. Its description in RNAcentral is "bacterial SSU rRNA". It matches the Rfam family "Bacterial small subunit ribosomal RNA", at positions 64 to 507 of the family's 1533-position model. The record is from RNAcentral.